UACGGGGGGGGCUAGCGUUGUUCGGAAUUACUGGGCGUAAAGCGCGUGUAGGCGGUCCGGUAAGUCCGCUGUGAAAGUCGAGGGCUCAACCCUCGAAUGCCGGUGGAUACUGUCGGGCUUGAGUACGGGAGAGGCGAGUGGAAUUCCUGGUGUAGCGGUGAAAUGCGCAGAUAUCAGGAGGAACACCGAUUGCGAAGGCAGCUCGCUGGAACGUUACUGACGCUGAGACGCGAAAGCGUGGGGAGCAAACAGG
This 253-nucleotide ribosomal RNA is filed under the name uncultured bacterium. RNAcentral's name for it is "partial 16S ribosomal RNA". It matches the Rfam family "Bacterial small subunit ribosomal RNA", at positions 524 to 776 of the family's 1533-position model. The record is from RNAcentral.